CAGGGAGGUAGUGACAAGAAAUAACAAUACGGGGCUUAAUGUCUUGUAAUUGGAAUGAUGGGAAUUUAUACCUCUUCCAGAGUAUCAAUUGGAGGGCAAGUCUGGUGCCAGCAGCCGCGGUAAUUCCAGCUCCAAUAGCGUAUAUUAAAAUUGUUGCAGUUAAAAAGCUCGUACUUGAAUUUCUGCUGCAUUGCUUUUGCUCCUUUACGAGUCUUUGCAUUGUGGCUUAUUUCGGACUUUGUUUUACAAUGUCCGGAUGUUUACUUUGAGAAAAUUAGAGUGCUCAAAGCAGGCUUUCGCCUUGAAUAGUUUAGCAUGGAAUAAUAAAGUACGACUUUGGUUCUAUUUUGUUGGUUUUAUGUACCACACUAAUGGUUAAUAGGAACAGUUGGGGGCAUUCAUAUUUAACUG
RNAcentral lists this ribosomal RNA (411 nucleotides) under Theileria ovis. Its description in RNAcentral is "SSU rRNA". It matches the Rfam family "Eukaryotic small subunit ribosomal RNA", at positions 457 to 904 of the family's 1831-position model. The record is from RNAcentral. Lineage: Eukaryota; Apicomplexa; Aconoidasida; Piroplasmida; Theileriidae.